UGAGAAGCCAGGACCAGUCAUUUGCAAUGAAAACUGAAAGAUAUAAUGCCCUAAAAAAGUGUGAGAAUGCUGCCUCUGACAGAACAGGUGAUAAGGAGAAGAAAGGCCGAGCCCCAGAAGUCAAGGUGGCAGAAAGAAGAAAGGAGCUGUGAUGAAAGGCUAUUUUGUUGGAAAAAACAGAAAUUUCCUCAAGGUCCAAGACAUAAGAAGCCUUCAAAAGACAUCUCUACCCAAUGUCAUCUGUAUUUAGCUCCAAGUUCUUUGCCAAAGGAAUGGGUUUGUUAUCACAGAGCUCCAGCCCCAUCAUCCCUCUUCUGUACAUAUCCACUUACUCUUCCAGCAUGAGGCCCUCAGAUGCGGAGCAGAUGCCAGCCUCCUGAACUGCAGUUGGCCAGGAGUUGGGGAGGGAAUGUGCUGACAGGCUUUUCAAGGGAGCAGUUGUGUUCUUGUGCCAGAUAUGACUGAAAUUGUAUUGAUGAAUGUCGGCAACCACACCUUAUGUCUCAUGGUUUUGGAUUCAGUUUGAUUUAUGACAUUACUUUCAAAGCUUCCAUUCCCAGAAGUAAACAGAGUCAUCAGACAUGAAAUCUGGGAAAAGAGUGUCAGUUCAGUUUACCAAGUUCAAGGCAAGGAACUAUUAAUGACUCUCAAACUACGAUGCUCAAUUCUUUUUCACCGGAGCACUGACCAGUCACCAGAGGAGCAGGGAGUGGGAGAGAGGCAUGCAUGUGACUACUGGAGGUCUGAGGAGCAGCAUUCAUAAGCCUGUGAGAG
Molecule: long non-coding RNA, 774 nt
Filed under: Heterocephalus glaber (naked mole-rat)
Lineage: Eukaryota; Metazoa; Chordata; Mammalia; Rodentia; Bathyergidae
Description: lncRNA (ENSHGLG00000039754.1)
Source: RNAcentral